Poecilia reticulata (guppy) is the source of this 606-nucleotide long non-coding RNA. RefSeq lists it as uncharacterized. NCBI's taxonomy places the organism in Eukaryota, Metazoa, Chordata, Actinopteri, Cyprinodontiformes, Poeciliidae. The record is from RefSeq and is a predicted model, not a curated record.
GGUCUGUUAACGAAUCAGACAGCUGCAACUGAUCCUGCACACUGCUGAUUUCAGCCAUGACAUUGACCAUGCAUGAACUGUUUUCUCUUAUUCACAUUUGACUGCUCUGAAAGGGGGCAUUGGGUGAAAAAGCUCUGGCUAAUGGAGAGGAAGAUGGAUGAGAUGGUUUUGGUGAAAUGCUUUGGUUGUGACAGAUUCAUGCUGUCACUGCAGAACAGCUGAGUUAGAUGAUUGCAUGACCGUCUGCAGCCAUCAAGAAGUGGAGAAGGAUGUUAAUCAUCCACGGAUUAAAUCCAGUCGUUGCUCUGCAGUUUGACCGAAAGCUGACUCUUGAGGGCUGGAGCGAAACUGUCAAGAAGUGGCUUCAUUACACACCAGAACGAGAGGAAGACAUCGCAAGGAAUCAAAGUGACGCCAACCAGAGUCAAACUAGGGUUACCACAACUUGUACUGUUUCCCUAGUUCAUACAAUACAAAGCUUAACCUCAUGGACUCUGUUCUUCUGUGGACAACAGACUGUUGUUUUGACAGUCAAAAAGGUGUCAAAUAUGUUUAAAGAUCUGUCCCUCUUUUCUUAAAUAAAAUGUUAUAUCAAACCCAUAUUGU